This 388-nucleotide ribosomal RNA is filed under the name uncultured bacterium. RNAcentral describes it as "bacterial SSU rRNA". It matches the Rfam family "Bacterial small subunit ribosomal RNA", at positions 28 to 417 of the family's 1533-position model. The record is from RNAcentral.
GACGAACGCUGGCGGCGUGCUUAACACAUGCAAGUCGAGCGGUAAGGCCCUUUCGGGGGUACGACGAGCGGCGAACGGGUGAGUAACACGUGGGUGACCUGCCCUCAGCUCUGGGAUAAGCCUGGGAAACUGGGUCUAAUACUGGAUAUGACUCCACGGUGCAUGUCGUGGGGUGGAAAGCCUUGUGCGGCUGAGGAUGGGCCCGCGGCCUAUCAGCUUGUUGGUGGGGUGAGGCCUACCAAGGCGACGACGGGUAGCCGGCCUGAGAGGGCGACCGGCCACACUGGGACUGAGACACGGCCCAGACUCCUACGGGAGGCAGCAGUGGGGAAUCUUGCGCAAUGGGCGAAGGCCUGACGCAGCGACGCCGCGUGAGGGAUGACGGCCU